This 366-nucleotide unclassified non-coding RNA is filed under the name Acacia pulchella var. pulchella. Its description in RNAcentral is "partial external transcribed spacer". The record is from RNAcentral. Lineage: Eukaryota; Viridiplantae; Streptophyta; Magnoliopsida; Fabales; Fabaceae.
GUGCCGUCCACCGAACGGUCGGCAGGCGAUCCGCGUCGGUCGCGCUGGGGUGGUAUGGUUCCCCAGAGGCCGGUUCUUGUGCUGCCUACCCCUUCGGGGGAAGCGGGCCACUUGAUGUAAGCCUCCAUCCGGCGCCCUCCAACGGGCGCAGGAGGACAACGGAGCACCCCCCGCGUUCCACCGAGCCUCCUUUGGUUCGUGGGCCCCGGGGGGGUGGGGAUGUUUUUGGCCCCCGGAACCCCCGGGGGGGGGGGCCCCGUUCCCAUUCCCAAAUUAAACUUCCAUAUAAUGGUGACGGCCCCUCCCCCCCCCCCGCCCCCCCGGCGCCCCGGGGGGGAGGCGCGGCGUCGCGGAGGAAUGCUACCU